AUUGAACGCUGGCGGCAUGCUUUACACAUGCAAGUCGAACGGCAGCGCGGGCUUCGGCCUGGCGGCGAGUGGCGAACGGGUGAGUAAUGCAUCGGAACGUGCCCAGUAGUGGGGGAUAGCCCGGCGAAAGCCGGAUUAAUACCGCAUACGACCUGAGGGUGAAAGCGGGGGACCGAAAGGCCUCGCGCUAUUGGAGCGGCCGAUGUCGGAUUAGCUAGUUGGUGGGGUAAAGGCUUACCAAGGCGACGAUCCGUAGCUGGUCUGAGAGGACGACCAGCCACACUGGGACUGAGACACGGCCCAGACUCCUACGGGAGGCAGCAGUGGGGAAUUUUGGACAAUGGGGGCAAGCCUGAUCCAGCCAUGCCGCGUGCGGGAAGAAGGCCUUCGGGUUGUAAACCGCUUUUGUUCGGGAAGAAAACCUCUGGGCUAAUACCCCGGGGGGAUGACGGUACCGGAAGAAUAAGCACCGGCUAACUACGUG
Molecule: ribosomal RNA, 484 nt
Filed under: uncultured bacterium
Lineage: Bacteria
Description: partial 16S ribosomal RNA
Rfam family: Bacterial small subunit ribosomal RNA
Source: RNAcentral